UACCAGCUCUCCGAGUGGUGUGGAUGUUUAUUGGGCCUAAAGCAUCCGUAGCUGGCUAAGUUAGUCCCUUGUUAAAUCCACCGAAUUAAUCGUUGGAUUGCGGGGGAUACUGCUUGGCUAGGGGACGAGAGAGGCAGACGGUAUUUCCGGGGUAGGGGUGAAAUCCUAUAAUCCCGGGAAGACCACCAGUGGCGAAGGCUGUCUGCUAGAACGCGCCCGACGGUGAGGGAUGAAAGUUGGGGGAGCGAACCGGAUUAGAUACCCGGGUAGUCCCAGCUGUAAACGAUGCAGGCUAGGUGUUUGGACGGCCACGUGCCGUUCUAGUGCCGCAGGGAAGCUGUUAAGCCUGCCGCCUGGGGAGUACGAUCGCAAGAUUGAAACUUAAGGAAUUGGCGGGGGAGCACCACAAGGGGUGAAGCUUGCGGUUU
This 428-nucleotide ribosomal RNA is filed under the name uncultured archaeon. RNAcentral's name for it is "bacterial SSU rRNA". It matches the Rfam family "Archaeal small subunit ribosomal RNA", at positions 474 to 903 of the family's 1478-position model. The record is from RNAcentral.